CCCUGGGUGGUGCAAACGGUUAACACUCUUGGCUGCUAACCGAAAGGUUGGUGGUUCAAGUCCACUUAGAGGUG
RNAcentral lists this transfer RNA (74 nucleotides) under Loxodonta africana (African savanna elephant). It matches the Rfam family "tRNA". Rfam says of the family: Transfer RNA (tRNA) molecules are approximately 80 nucleotides in length. Their secondary structure includes four short double-helical elements and three loops (D, anti-codon, and T loops). Further hydrogen bonds mediate the characteristic L-shaped molecular structure. tRNAs have two regions of fundamental functional importance: the anti-codon, which is responsible for specific mRNA codon recognition, and the 3' end, to which the tRNAs corresponding amino acid is attached (by aminoacyl-tRNA synthetases). tRNAs cope with the degeneracy of the genetic code in two manners: having more than one tRNA (with a specific anti-codon) for a particular amino acid; and 'wobble' base-pairing, i.e. permitting non-standard base-pairing at the 3rd anti-codon position. Lineage: Eukaryota; Metazoa; Chordata; Mammalia; Proboscidea; Elephantidae. The record is from Rfam by way of RNAcentral.